Molecule: ribosomal RNA, 468 nt
Filed under: uncultured bacterium
Lineage: Bacteria
Description: partial 16S ribosomal RNA
Rfam family: Bacterial small subunit ribosomal RNA
Source: RNAcentral
GACGAACGCUGGCGGCGUGCUUAACACAUGCAAGUCGAACGGAAAGGCCCUGCUUUUGCGGGGUGCUCGAUUGGCGAAGGGGGGAGUAACACGUGAGUAACCCCCCCUUGACUUUGGGGUAACUUCAGGAAACUGGGGCUAAUACCGGAUAGGAGCUCCUGCUGCACGGGGGGGGUUGGAAAGUUUCGGCGGUUGUGGAUGGACUCGCAGGUUAUCAGCUUGUUGGUGGGGUAGUGGUUUCCCAAGGCUUUGAAGGGUAGCCGACCUGGGAGCGUGGCCGGCCUCCUUGGUCCUGCGGUACGCACCAGUAUGCUAUGGGCGGCAGCGGUGGAGAGUCUUACGCAACGGCCGGAAGCCAGAGGUAGCAACGCCCCGUGCGGGAUACCGGCCUACGGGUUGUAAACAACUUUGGCAGGUAACGAGGAGUUAGUGACGGUACUGGGUAAAAAAGCACCGGCUAACUACGUG